This 408-nucleotide ribosomal RNA is filed under the name uncultured bacterium. RNAcentral describes it as "partial 16S ribosomal RNA". It matches the Rfam family "Bacterial small subunit ribosomal RNA", at positions 28 to 526 of the family's 1533-position model. The record is from RNAcentral.
GACGAACGCUGGCGGCGUGCUUAACACAUGCAAGUCGAACGAAGUGGCGAACGGGUGAGUAACGCGUAAUCAACCUGCCCUUCAGAGGGGGACAACAGUUGGAAACGACUGCUAAUACCGCAUACUGAAGGAGUGGAUUGCGUCUGAUGAGCUAGUCGGAGGGGUAACGGCCAACCAAGGCGAUGGUCAGUAGCCGGGCUGAGAGGAUGGACGGCCACAUAGGGAAUGAGACACGGCCCAGACUCCUACGGGAGGCAGCAGUGGGGAAUCUUCCGCAAUGGACGGAAGUCGGACGGAGGAACGCCGCGUGGGUGAUGACGGCCUUCGGGUUGUAAAGCUCUGUUAAUCGGGACGCGGUACCGGAAUAGAAAGCCACGGCUAACUACGUGCCAGCAGCCGCGGUAAUUC